RNAcentral lists this ribosomal RNA (496 nucleotides) under uncultured bacterium. RNAcentral's name for it is "partial 16S ribosomal RNA". It matches the Rfam family "Bacterial small subunit ribosomal RNA", at positions 28 to 506 of the family's 1533-position model. The record is from RNAcentral.
GAUGAACGCUGGCGGCGUGCCUAAUACAUGCAAGUCGAGCGAACAGACGAGGAGCUUGCUCCUCUGACGUUAGCGGCGGACGGGUGAGUAACACGUGGAUAACCUACCUAUAAGACUGGGAUAACUUCGGGAAACCGGAGCUAAUACCGGAUAAUAUAUUGAACCGCAUGGUUCAAUAGUGAAAGACGGUUUUGCUGUCACUUAUAGAUGGAUCCGCGCCGCAUUAGCUAGUUGGUAAGGUAACGGCUUACCAAGGCAACGAUGCGUAGCCGACCUGAGAGGGUGAUAGGCCACACUGGAACUGAGACACGGUCCAGACUCCUACGGGAGGCAGCAGUAGGGAAUCUUCCGCAAUGGGCGAAAGCCUGACGGAGCAACGCCGCGGGAGUGAUGAAGGUCUUCGGAUCGUAAAACUCUGUUAUUAGGGAAGAACAAAUGUGUAAGUAACGAUGCACGUCUUGACGGUACCUAAGCAGAAAGCCACGGCUAACUACGU